AUGAUUAGUAAAUUUGGUAAACCGAAUGCCCAGUCCUGCAUGGGCACACAUGUACGCACAGGCGCUCGGCGCCAUGGACACGACCAACUGCAGGCACAAGGGAGCGCACCAGGAGCAGCCAGUGACAAUGAUGGGCAUGGCGCGCAGGUCGCAGCCAGCAAGCACGGGCCACAGUGGGCAGCGGCGCGCACAGGCAGCAGCGGCGACAUCAGCAAGGAGCAGGAGCAUCAGGCAACAACGGCGGGCGGCUAUGACAGCGGGCGUCAGCAGCAGCGGUUAAGCCGUGAAGCAGCAGCGCACCUAGAAAGCAGCAGGAGUGUGGCGGCGGACGGCUAA
Molecule: ribosomal RNA, 336 nt
Filed under: Triticum aestivum (bread wheat)
Lineage: Eukaryota; Viridiplantae; Streptophyta; Magnoliopsida; Poales; Poaceae
Description: partial small subunit ribosomal RNA
Source: RNAcentral